UAUGUAGUGCCUGAAUCGUAAGGAUAAUUUUGAUAGAGUUAAAAAUGUGUGUAUACACCUUCAUAA
This 66-nucleotide transfer RNA is filed under the name Sinoluperus subcostatus. RNAcentral's name for it is "tRNA-Ile". Lineage: Eukaryota; Metazoa; Arthropoda; Insecta; Coleoptera; Chrysomelidae. The record is from RNAcentral.